This 264-nucleotide ribosomal RNA is filed under the name uncultured archaeon. RNAcentral's name for it is "partial 16S ribosomal RNA". It matches the Rfam family "Archaeal small subunit ribosomal RNA", at positions 717 to 982 of the family's 1478-position model. The record is from RNAcentral.
AGUCACUGACAUUAGAUACCCGUGUAGUCCAGGGUGUAAACGCUGCAGACUUGGUGUUGGGAACCCUUCGGGGGUGCUCAGUGCCGGAGAGAAGUUGUUAAGUCUGCUACUUGGGGAGUACGUCCGCAAGGAUGAAACUUAAGGAAUUGGCGGGGGAGCACCGCAACGGGAGGAGCGUGCGGUUUAAUUGGAUUCAACGCCGAAAAACUCACCAGCAGCGACUGUUACAUGAAAGUCAGGUUGAUGACCUUACUAGAUUUUCAG